Molecule: long non-coding RNA, 3137 nt
Filed under: Solanum tuberosum (potato)
Lineage: Eukaryota; Viridiplantae; Streptophyta; Magnoliopsida; Solanales; Solanaceae
Description: long non-coding RNA (STUB_LNC004950)
Source: RNAcentral
GGCUCACAAAAAUAAUCUUCAAAAUAAGAAGACAAGCAAUUUAAUAUAUCAAAACUAAAGAGUUAUGUAGACAUAAGUAAAGGUUAGUCGACAUAUCAAAAUAAUAUCAUCAAAAUCAUAGAAGGGAAGACUAAAGAACGUUAGGCUCCUAUUUAUAAGAAUCCGAGUAUCGCGAUGAUCCUAAUUGUUGGUGGCCUAAUAUUUUAGGCCAAUAAUGAGUUUCAAAAUAGAAACUCUAGCUCUCCAAUUGUACAUGAAAUAUAAGAAGACGAAAAGAAUUAGCAAGUGGACUCUAUAUUUAUCACAAUACAUAAUAUUAUGUAGUCACGUGCAUAUGAAUAUGUUUUUAUAAUAUAAUGGAAGGUUUAAUGUAUCUGCAUCCAUUUCUGAAGCAUAGGAGCAUAUGUUUAUUCUUUUUAAGUCUAAUAAAACAAGCAAACAGUACUAUAUGUGGUUCCUAAAGAAAGAAUACAUGUUUAAUCCUAUGCCCCACAAGAUAUGCAAAGAUAACCAACAAAUAACAAGAUAAAAUAUGAAGUGGAGGUCCAAUACUUAGAGUGGAAUCAAGAUGAAAUAAAAUACAUGGGACAAGGGCUAAGUUCACAGAAUCAUGUAUGACGCCAAAACAACAAAUAUCUUAGACUAUUGACAGAUGGAUUAAUGAGACUAUCAAUUGAUAGACUAAGUUCGGCUACAUCAGAUGCAAAACAUUAUGCUUUAACAUAGGAUUCUUCUAGUCACAACAGAGAAAGGAAAAAGAUUUAAAAGUUUCUAAAGUUAACCAUAUAGACAAAUUUCAAGAUAGGUUAGGAUUUCAAAAGCAACAAAUAAAAGAAAGUAUGUAUGCUAGUACGUAGACCAUGGUUUGUCAACAUGGUGAACAAAUCUUGCUUAACACAAACUAUGAAAUCUUAACAAAACAAGUUCGAAGCCAAACAUUAGAUUCAUUUAGAUAAGGUUGAGAAGGAAACUUUAAGACAUAAUUUGUACAACAAGUAUUAAGGGGAUGCAUGAUUAAGUCGUUGGGGGUAUUUUGAGCAUACUUUUGAAAGAAACAGAGAUUAAAAUAUAAUUGAUUAUAUCCUUAUGCUAAAAAUAGAUGUUAACUCUUAUUACAAAAACCAAUUUUGAUUACACAAGAUCAUAGCAUAGCGAAUUUUGCACACUAUAACGAAAUUCGAACUUAUUAGUCUAACAGGAGUAAUACUAACUAAAGGGCAAAACACAUUGUUCGUAACAACUCAUUCAUUGAAGCAUGUUGGUAAAACAGGAAAUAAUGUUUAAAGGAUAGCCACUGGGACAUUAAGACCACAUACGAAAUAAUGCAUGCAGGUGGUAGUUCCAUGGAAGAAAUUACACGGUAAAGAGAAAACUCACAUGUACUGCCAAACUAGAGAAAUAAAAAAUAAAAAUAAAAAAGGAAAUAUCUAGUCAAAUGUCCAUUAAUAACCAUGAGGUCCUCCUACAUGCAUAUGUCUUUUAAAAACACACACACACAAAAUCUGCUCAUCAUGAGUAUAUAUUCUAGCUCAUAUCGAUCAUUCUACGUACUAAAAUUCGAUAAUCACACGUAGAGCGAGGUAUAAUUUCAGCCGAGUUAUAAUCCCAAAAAAAUAGACACAAAAUGAAACUUGAGAGAGAAUUACAGACGUUCAAACAUUCUUAUGUUCGUUUUUAUGAAUCGUAACUAAAUAAAGAAUGUGAGCAAUGACCUUAUUAACAAGGUUAUAAAGCAAAAGUAAAAGAAAAAUGUUACCGGAGAAGACGGAAUACGAGAGAGGGAAUAGACCAAGAUUGAUUAUAUUCUAGUUAGUUCGAUCUGCCUCAAGUUAAUAGGUAAAUGCCCAUUAAGCUUCCUUGAUUUUACAUGAACAUAGGCAAAUUUAUUAUGAGUCAACACUUUUGAAAGGAGAAGAAAAAGAUGCAGCUGUCCAAUUCUUCAUAUUAAAAAGCUAUCCUAAUUUAAUACUUCCACACUACCAUCCAUCAAAGAAACAACAUAAGAGAGGAAAUUAAUUCCAUAUUGGAAAAUUGAGCCGGUAGAUCUUAAGAGUUAAAAAAAUGGCUCACUCAUACUUAGAAAAUGAUUAUUCAGACAAAGCUUGGUUAUUCUUGAAAAAACAAAAUUUUAGAAUCGAGUCUCCUCGAACAUUAAAUGAAAUCUGACUUGCGAAACAACAAGAUGACUUAUGAAAAAUCUAAGGCGCAACACAUCUGUCCAAACACGGAUAUCACUUAGCAGCGGAGAGCAACAUAAAUCAAGCAAGCUAAAAAUUUAACAAAAUUCAUAUAUAGAACUCAGAAUCAGUAACAUAGACAGGUGUUGUGUUUUCUAAGCCGAUUUCAAUUCGAAUUUACAUUGAUUUACAACACAAAAAAAUGUGGAUUUCUAUGGCUUAACAAGCAACAAAGUUAUAGCUUCCUGGAGAUAAAAAUGACUCUAAAGAGGAACAAAAUGAGCAGCCCUGAAUUGAUUAAAUCUUUCAGCACAUUCAACUAAAGUUUAUACCACAUUAGAUAGAUGCAAAAUACGCAAGAUCCACUUUUAAGCUCAAAAAAAUCUAAAAAAAAAAAAACCUUCAUCAGCUAUAAGUUCGAAAUGAUCGCAAGUCUUAAGUUUUGAAACUUAGGCUAACACAACAUAAGAUUUUAAACGAAGAAAAACAAGAUGAGAUCAAGACGUCAAGAGAUUAAAGUCAUGCUAGAAGAACAAUUCAUACAAAUCUGAAAACAGUAAUAAAACAUAAUUAUAUCAUGCUAGGCGAGGAGACUAUUAAAGCUAGAUUUUACAAGCCAUAACAUAAAAACUAUGUGAAGUUAUGGCUAAGUGUAUAUGAAGUAAUACACAAGCCACAAUUCUUAACAGGGGAUUCAAAACCCAACAACAUCGAUACACAUAUUCACAACAACUACAAGAAGCGAAAAGGACACUAGAGAAAAUAAUAUUGACGAAAGAGAAAACUAAACCUAACUUUUAUCGAUAAACAAACAUAUUAACUAAAAAAAGACAGAACUAAAUAAAGAUUCAAAAAAAAAAAGAAUUUUACCUUAUGUUGAGCAACAAACUAGAGCUUUGACGUCAAGAUUCAACUUCGAACUCCUUUCCCGACCUCGGAUUGUUUUUCUCCUUGUUUUUG